GAAAAUUUAGAAUAACAGAAGUUGUAUAAAUAAAGAUAUCAUGAUUAGUUGCUCUCAUACUUUGGUCAAUGCAGGAUUAAAGGGAGAGGAAGUAAGUCUGCCAUGUAGAUGUUUAGGACAUGGGCUGGGAAUCCUAACAAGCACCUUUCUUCUUUGGGAGAUCCUUGCAGAGGGAGAACACAAUGGAAAACAGUGGCCAAAAAAGAAUCGGGAUACUACUUUACUAAUAUUCGCCACUGUUGUGAGGAGUUAUGAAACUUAUUACACUGACAGAAGAAGGGCACAGAAAGGGCAAGACUGUCAGUCUCCUGGGAUGCCAUUGAAGUCACUCUGCUGAGAGUUAAAGGUGUGGGAGAAGCUCUGAAGUGUAAUAUCAUCUUGAAGAAGCAACACCAGUACACAAAAUACAGGUAAGCCAAGUUAGAAAUGUGACUGGUCCUUGAAAGGACUUAGCCAAGAACAUGUAACCCAAGUAAGUUACUUUAAUAGAAGAGGCUUAGCGUGCAAAGUUCAUAAUAAAUGAUUUGGAAGACCUACACCAGC
Molecule: long non-coding RNA, 543 nt
Filed under: Fukomys damarensis (Damara mole-rat)
Lineage: Eukaryota; Metazoa; Chordata; Mammalia; Rodentia; Bathyergidae
Description: lncRNA (ENSFDAG00000027262.1)
Source: RNAcentral